GACCCUGACCCAGGACCAGUAUAUGUGCAGCACAAUCAACAAGCCAUUCAGGCCCGUCAACGUGUAAUUGCGACAAUAUAAAUGAACAGCAUGCGUCAAGACACGGCCAGAUGGACGGGCUUCAGCACUGGGGGGAACAUUAGAGACACGGGAGACGCUGGACUGAAUGGGCUCUGGCUGCUCAGGUGGUGCGGACUCUGAGUGCGUGCCAGUGGACAUUCCUGCGGUUCCUAAGUCCAAUUAAACACAGGCACAUCUUAACAGUAAUUUGAGUCUGUUCCUUAUUAAUGGGUACACGCAUUUGCAAUAAAAGCAGUGGAUACGUGAAAUCUCUGGUGUACCUUUUGCUAUAUUGCAUGCAUUUUAAAAUUAAACGGUGGCUGGCUAUGUAUAUCAAAGUUAAGGAAAUAAAUCUGAGUCACCUUG
Long non-coding RNA from Coregonus clupeaformis (lake whitefish), 426 nucleotides. RefSeq lists it as uncharacterized. The transcript has 2 exons. The record is from RefSeq and is a predicted model, not a curated record. Lineage: Eukaryota; Metazoa; Chordata; Actinopteri; Salmoniformes; Salmonidae.